AUUGAACGCUGGCGGCAGGCCUAACACAUGCAAGUCGAACGAGUGGCGGACGGGUGAGUAAUGUCUGGAAAACUGCCUGAUGGAGGGGGAUAACUACUGGAACCGGUAGCUAAUACCGCAUACCCUCAGAUGUGCCCAGAUGGGAUUAGCUUGUUGGUGGGGUAACGGCUCACCAAGGCGACGAUCCCUAGCUGGUCUGAGAGGAGGACCAGCCACACUGGAAAGGAGACAAGGUCCAGACUCCUACGGGAGGCAGCAGUGGGGAAUAUGGCACAAUGGGCGCAAGCCUGAUGCAGCCAUGCCGCGUGUGUGAAGAAGGCCUUCGGGUUGUAAAGUACUUUCAGCGGGGAGGCGUUACCCGCAGAAGAAGCACCGGCUAACUCCGUGCCAGCAGCCGCGGUAAUUC
Molecule: ribosomal RNA, 406 nt
Filed under: uncultured bacterium
Lineage: Bacteria
Description: partial 16S ribosomal RNA
Rfam family: Bacterial small subunit ribosomal RNA
Source: RNAcentral